This 301-nucleotide ribosomal RNA is filed under the name uncultured bacterium. RNAcentral's name for it is "partial 16S ribosomal RNA". It matches the Rfam family "Bacterial small subunit ribosomal RNA", at positions 509 to 807 of the family's 1533-position model. The record is from RNAcentral.
CAGCAGCCGCGGGAAUACGUAGGGUGCAAGCGUUAAUCGGAAUUACUGGGCGUAAAGCGUCCGCAGGCGGUUAUAUAAGACAGAUGUGAAAUCCCCGGGCUCAACCUGGGAACUGCAUUUGUGACUGUAUAGCUAGAGUACGGCAGAGGGGGAUGGAAUUCCGCGUGUAGCAGUGAAAUGCGUAGAUAUGCGGAGGAACACCGAUGGCGAAGGCAAUCCCCUGGGCCUGUACUGACGCUCAUGCACGAAAGCGUGGGGAGCAAACAGGAUUAGAUACCCGAGUAGUCCCUGUCUCUUAUAC